UUUCCCCUGCGGUGUUCGACAGGAUGGUAGAUAUUUGAAGAACCGAUACCCAUAUUUUAGGGAAUCAGAACCUGCCGGCUCGGAAACGCCUGCUUGACAGGACUUUCGAACGCUUGAAGCUGAUUUACCACUUUAAAAUACUGGGUUCUUUAAAUAGCCUUCCAUCGGCACAGGUGGAGGUACC
RNAcentral lists this non-coding RNA (184 nucleotides) under Planctomycetes bacterium GWF2_41_51. RNAcentral's name for it is "6S RNA". It matches the Rfam family "6S / SsrS RNA". Rfam says of the family: E. coli 6S RNA was the first non coding RNA to be sequenced, but its function was unknown until recently. It consists of 184 nucleotides that fold into an extended hairpin structure with a large single-stranded internal bulge. The record is from RNAcentral. RNAcentral also lists the same sequence under 1 other name. Lineage: Bacteria; Pseudomonadati; Planctomycetota.